This 590-nucleotide long non-coding RNA is filed under the name Nicotiana benthamiana. RNAcentral describes it as "long non-coding RNA (NBEN_LNC004314)". Lineage: Eukaryota; Viridiplantae; Streptophyta; Magnoliopsida; Solanales; Solanaceae. The record is from RNAcentral.
CUUUUAUAACGUUUGGACUCAAGACUAUGUCCGCACCAGAGGUUCAGGUAAGAGGGUUCAUUUGACUCGGGAAGUAGGUGUUAUGCAUUCCCCAAGUCCCGUAACUAGUACGGUUGCGUACUCGAUCUAAUUGACUUUUAGAAUAUUCGAAUUGAGAAAAACAAACACAGAAAAGAAAACAAACACACAAGAGGUCCGAGGUCGCUCCCACCUAAUAAAAGGAAAAGAAAACUAAAGCUAAAAAUACUAUGAGUUUCACUUUAAGCCUCCGAAUACAAGUACUUCGGGGCAUACCCCGAAAUAAAAUAUAUACAAGUCCUUCGGGGCAUUUCCCGGAUAAAUACAACUACGGGAACAACCUCUCGCCUUGAAUCAAACAAAAUUCCUAACGAUUGACUACCCGGGUGUUGUCUGCCUAAGCAUACUCCUAGCGAUUGAAAGAUAGAAAUAAAACUAACGUUAACUCGUUUCAUGCUCACUUUUCUUUUAACUUCUUAUUUCAUGCAUUUGACGAAGCCCAAUUCCCAUGUCCUAAAUCAUUCAAACAUAUAAUUUUCAACCAAUGUUGACUUACAAGAUUACAUGGCUUC